CUUUAAUUGAGGAACAUCUCUAAAGCAAUGCAGACGUCUGAUGGACAGUGGAUGGUUUCUGUCUUUUCUCUCAGAGAUUGUGGAUUAACAUGAGCCGAGGAACUGACUGAAUGAUCACCAGGAGCCUCAGGAGGAGGACAGGGUUCCAGCCAGAGGACUGCUGCUGCUGGUGGUGAUGAUGAUGUCUCUCCCAUGGAGGUGGACCCUCCAGAGACUAUUCAUAGCCAGGACCAGGAGGAACCGAUGGACUGGGAACCUGCAGGGACUCUGAGUUCACCCUCAGCCAGCUCCUCUCUUUACAACCACAUAUCGAUGUCGAUCAGUGUCGGUGAAACUGUGACAUUUGCACUCGGCUGCAGAAUCUCCUGAAGAUCAGAGACCGUAAAGAGAGCAGGUGGAUCUUCAUCACACCAUCGGAUCAGCUGUUUGCCAUGUUGAGAAAUAAACAUUUCGU
Long non-coding RNA from Sander lucioperca (pikeperch), 454 nucleotides. RefSeq lists it as uncharacterized. The record is from RefSeq and is a predicted model, not a curated record. NCBI's taxonomy places the organism in Eukaryota, Metazoa, Chordata, Actinopteri, Perciformes, Percidae. The transcript is spliced from 5 exons.